UCGGACCCUUGGUAUAUAUCAUGGAGAGUUUGAUCCUGGCUCAGAACGAACGCUGGCGGCGUGUCUUAAGCAUGCAAGUCGUGCGGCAAGGGGUAGCAAUACCCCCUAGAGCGGCGGACUGGUGAGUAACGCGUGGGUGAUCUGCCCUUGGGAUGGGGAUAGCCACUAGAAAAUAGUGGGUAAUACCGAAUACGUUCGCUCCUUCGGUGGAGCGAGGAAAAGCGCUUCGGCGCUGCCCGAGGAUGAGCCCGCGUCCCAUUAGCUAGUUGGUGAGGUAACGGCCCACCAAGGCGAUGAUGGGUAGGCGGCCUGAGAGGGUGUACGCCCACACUGGGACUGAGAUACGGCCCAGACUCCUACGGGAGGCAGCAGCUAAGAAUAAUUCGCAAUGGACGAAAAGUACUGACGGAGCGACGCCG
This 419-nucleotide ribosomal RNA is filed under the name uncultured bacterium. Its description in RNAcentral is "bacterial SSU rRNA". It matches the Rfam family "Bacterial small subunit ribosomal RNA", at positions 1 to 399 of the family's 1533-position model. The record is from RNAcentral.